Molecule: ribosomal RNA, 460 nt
Filed under: uncultured bacterium
Lineage: Bacteria
Description: partial 16S ribosomal RNA
Rfam family: Bacterial small subunit ribosomal RNA
Source: RNAcentral
CCUACGGGUGGCAGCAGUGAGGAAUAUUGGUCAAUGGCCGUAAGGCUGAACCAGCUAAGUAGCGUGUGGGAAGACUGCCCUAUGGGUUGUAAACCUCUUUUAUGCGGGGAUAAAGGUGUCUUCGUGUGGAUGUUUGUAGUUCCCGCAUUAUUAAGGUCCGGCUAAUUACGUGCCAUCAGCCGCGGUAAUAUGGAAGGUCCGGUCGUUAUCCGGAUUUAUUUGGUUUAAAGUGAGCGUAGAUGGGUUAGUAAGUCAGUUGGGAAAGUUUGUGGCUCAACCGUACAAUUGCAAUUGAUACUGGCAGUCUUGAGUACAGUUGAGGUAGGCGGAAGUCGAGGUGUAGCAGUGAAAUGCUUAGAUAUCACGAAGAACCCCGAUGGCGAAGGCAGCUUACUAGGCUGUGACUGACAUUGAUGCUCGAAAGUGUGGGUAUCAAACAGGAUUAGAUACCCCAGUAGUC